UACCCAAUGAAACAAUCUGAAGGAUUAGAGGUACAGCUCUCAGGAAUUCAAAGUUUAAAGUUCUUGACUCAUUUUCCAAGUCACAUCAUCCACAAGAAACAAAAGUUUUCUGGCUUGGUCUGUAGCUUUAACCAGUUUGCUAAACGCAGUGGUAAACACCCUUCUAAACAGGAAGUUCUACAUCUUGUGAUUAAGACAGCUCUGCAAGCCUAAACAUUUCCUAAGUUCCUCUUCCUUUAAGAAGAUUCAUUUCCACAGAGAUACAAGAAAUGGCAUCUUUCAACAAAUUAAAAAAUUUGCUAAUACUGGCGUUUGACUGGAUCCUGUAUGGUGCUGGUGUUGCAGAUCCCUGCCGAGUCACUGUAACACAGCCCAGGUCUCAGCAAACUGACUCCUCCAUGAACACUGUGUCCCUACCAUGCACCUUCUCUGCCUCUGGAUGCUCCUCGUCCCAGCCUGAAGUUCUGUGGUUUCGCUAUUUAACUAAUAUACAUCAGGAUUUGUGUACUCCUGGAUGCACAGACAAUCAGAAGUACAAAGUACGUUCAUCAGGAGAUAACAUCUUACUUGAGAUAAAAGAUCUGACUGUAAAUGACAGCGCUGUUUAUAUCUGUGGAAUAGCAUUCUCAGACUCAGUUUCACCCCUUUCUAAACAAACAGGAGAUGGAACAGUACUAACGGUAACAGGAUCAGAGAAGCAGCACAGCAACGGAAAACUCAUCUCCAUGAUCAUUGUCUCGUCCUUACUGUUCCUGUACAGCUCUGCUGUGCUCACUUCCUUUGUGGUCUACAAGUUAAAACCAAAGCUGCUAAAGAAAUAUGGGAAAGACCAAACAACAGAGAACUGUAAAAUAAAUAGCGGCCGAAAAGUUUUUCAAGCAAUUGCUCAAGAACUUCAAAAGCAGAGAUAUGCUCGACACUGCCAACAGCCUGAUGAUUUGGAAGAUGACACCCUUUAUCAGAACAGAUGAGCACGUGCAGCACCUCAGAUUUGUUCAACAGUUCUGCAAGCAAAGGAGCAGGUGGGAUUCAUCUGAACACUAGAAACAGCCUGACCUGAACAGCUCUAUUCAGCAUUAGAUAGUUCUGAUGAUUUUGCUCAACUGAUCACUAGAGACAGCUGAGGUCACCUCUAGGUAAAAGGCCCCAGUCAGGAACCAGUUUUCUCAAGUUGCUCCAACACAGCUGAAAUGUGGUAACUUGCAAAACAGGAUCUGUGACUUCAAUAUUUGAGCUUUUUGUUGGUGCCAACAAUGUAUUCUGUGGAGUUAACAGAACAAAUUAUAUCACGUGCCCUAUUUACCUAUGAUUUCAUACUUUUGAACAUGCCCUCUACUA
This is a non-coding RNA of Sturnus vulgaris (Common starling), 1338 nucleotides long. Lineage: Eukaryota; Metazoa; Chordata; Aves; Passeriformes; Sturnidae. The record is from RefSeq and is a predicted model, not a curated record.